GUAGGUGGCAAGCGUUGUCCGGAAUUAUUGGGCGUAAAGCGCGCGCAGGCGGUCCUUUAAGUCUGAUGUGAAAGCCCACGGCUCAACCGUGGAGGGUCAUUGGAAACUGGGGGACUUGAGUACAGAAGAGGAAAGCGGAAUUCCAAGUGUAGCGGUGAAAUGCGUAGAGAUUUGGAGGAACACCAGUGGCGAAGGCGGCUUUCUGGUCUGUAACUGACGCUGAGGCGCGAAAGCGUGGGGAGCAAACAGGGAUUAGAUACCCUGGUAGUCCACGCCGUAAACGAUGAGUGCUAAGUGUUGGGGGGGUUUCCCGCCCCCUUAGUGCUGCAGCUAACGCAUUAAGCACUCCGCCUGGGGGUAGUACGGCCGCAAGGCUG
Molecule: ribosomal RNA, 377 nt
Filed under: uncultured organism
Description: partial 16S ribosomal RNA
Rfam family: Bacterial small subunit ribosomal RNA
Source: RNAcentral